RNAcentral lists this ribosomal RNA (250 nucleotides) under uncultured bacterium. RNAcentral's name for it is "partial 16S ribosomal RNA". It matches the Rfam family "Bacterial small subunit ribosomal RNA", at positions 524 to 773 of the family's 1533-position model. The record is from RNAcentral.
UACGAAGGGGGCUAGCGUUGUUCGGAAUCACUGGGCGUAAAGCGCACGUAGGCGGAUUGUUAAGUCAGAGGUGAAAGCCUGGAGCUCAACUCCAGAACUGCCUUUGAUACUGGCAAUCUCGAGUCCGGAAGAGGUAAGUGGAACUGCGAGUGUAGAGGUGAAAUUCGUAGAUAUUCGCAAGAACACCAGUGGCGAAGGCGGCUUACUGGUCCGGUACUGACGCUGAGGUGCGAAAGCGUGGGGAGCAAAC